Molecule: ribosomal RNA, 466 nt
Filed under: uncultured bacterium
Lineage: Bacteria
Description: partial 16S ribosomal RNA
Rfam family: Bacterial small subunit ribosomal RNA
Source: RNAcentral
GACGAACGCUGGCGGCGUGCUUAACACAUGCAAGUCGAACGGAAAGGCCCUGCUUUUGUGGGGUGCUCGAGUGGCGAACGGGUGAGUAACACGUGAGUAACCUGCCCUUGACUUUGGGAUAACUUCAGGAAACUGGGGCUAAUACCGGAUAGGAGCUCCUGCUGCAUGGUGGGGGUUGGAAAGUUUCGGCGGUUGGGGAUGGACUCGCGGCUUAUCAGCUUGUUGGUGGGGUAGUGGCUUACCAAGGCUUUGACGGGUAGCCGGCCUGAGAGGGUGACCGGCCACAUUGGGACUGAGAUACGGCCCAGCCUCCUACGGGAGGCAGCAGUGGGGAAUAUUGCACAAUGGGCGGAAGCCUGAUGCAGCACCGCCGCGUGCGGGAUGACGGCCUUCGGGUUGUAAACCGCUUUCGCCUGGGACGAAGCGUGAGUGACGGUAAUGGGUAAAGAAGCACCGGCUAACUACG